RNAcentral lists this long non-coding RNA (793 nucleotides) under Callithrix jacchus (white-tufted-ear marmoset). RNAcentral describes it as "lncRNA (ENSCJAG00000074702.1)". Lineage: Eukaryota; Metazoa; Chordata; Mammalia; Primates; Cebidae. The record is from RNAcentral.
GAAUUGCCUAAUCUGGGCCAUUUUUGAGAGUGAGAGGAACAAUUUGUAAUUAUGCUCACGCCAUAGGCAUGAGGCAGACUUUCCCAACAAAUCCAGGCACAUGGUUAGUUACCUUAAAAUGGAGCUAUGCAUGGUGAAUAUUGUCGAAAACAGAUGAGAGGCAAAGCUGUGGUUGGAAAUGGUGACACGGAUCAGGGAAGAUUAGACAGUAAUGUUUACUACUUUCUGUCUUGUAUUACGUUUGUUUAUACACACAUCUUUUUUUUCCACCAGAUUUAAGAAGUUUGAAAGAGGGUUCCAUGUUCUAUUCAUCAUCUAAUUUCCCACAGUGCUCACAAAACAACUUCAUGGGGAAGACACAACAUUUUGACAAAGAGAGAAGAGAUUUGGCCUCCUCAUCUUUUCCCAGGUGCCCAGGAGGGAUCAGCUACCCUGUUGGGAGAAGCCCACCUUCCCCUCUCUCAGGGUGUGAACAAAACCUGUUCUGUGUGUAACAAGGCAUCCUUCUUUAGGAUUCCACAGACAUCAUACUGAAAGAGACUAGCAAGUAACUGAGGUUAGAGAAAAGAGGUCAUUCUGUCAAAAUGAAAUGUAUGCCCUCCAGCAAUCAAACCUUGAGCCUGGGUAUCUGGCUCAUGUAGACUGAGUUCAAAGCCUGACUGUGUUAAUAACUUUUGACAAGCAACUUGACCUCUUUAUGUCUUAGUUUUCUCAUUUGUAAAAUGGCAACAUUAGUACUGAACUCAUAGAGAUGUUGUAAAUAUUAAAGUAUAUAAAAUGUCCAGCAUGUAAG